UACCAACGGUUCAAGUCGCAGCCACAUUUAUUUGGUCUAAAACAUCCGUAGCUUGUUUUGUAAGUCUUUUGUGAAAUCCGGCUUCUUAAGAGUCGGGCGUGCAAGAGAUACUGCUUAGCUAGAGACCGGGAGACGUAAGGAGUACAUAGGGGGUAUCAGUAAAAUGAGUUGAUCCUCUGUGGACUAACAACAGCGAAGGCACCUUACGAGAACGGAUCUGACAGUAAGGGAUGAAGGCUAGGGUCGCGAAAGG
Molecule: ribosomal RNA, 253 nt
Filed under: uncultured archaeon
Lineage: Archaea
Description: partial 16S ribosomal RNA
Rfam family: Archaeal small subunit ribosomal RNA
Source: RNAcentral